RNAcentral lists this ribosomal RNA (277 nucleotides) under uncultured Staphylococcus sp. Its description in RNAcentral is "partial 16S ribosomal RNA". It matches the Rfam family "Bacterial small subunit ribosomal RNA", at positions 86 to 354 of the family's 1533-position model. Lineage: Bacteria; Bacillati; Bacillota; Bacilli; Caryophanales; Staphylococcaceae. The record is from RNAcentral.
GUACGUUAGUCGGCGGACGGGUGGAGUAACACGUGGGUAACCUACCUAUAAGACUGGGAUAACUUCGGGAAACCGGAGCUAAUACCGGAUAAUAUUUCGAACCGCAUGGUUCGAUAGUGAAAGAUGGUUUUGCUAUCACUUAUAGAUGGACCCGCGCCGUAUUAGCUAGUUGGUAAGGUAACGGCUUACCAAGGCGACGAUACGUAGCCGACCUGAGAGGGUGAUCGGCCACACUGGAACUGAGACACGGUCCAGACUCCUACGGGAGGCAGCAGAG